This 204-nucleotide small nuclear RNA is filed under the name Terrapene triunguis (Three-toed box turtle). RNAcentral describes it as "Terrapene carolina triunguis (Three-toed box turtle) U2 spliceosomal RNA (ENSTMTG00000004804.1)". It matches the Rfam family "U2 spliceosomal RNA". Rfam says of the family: U2 is a small nuclear RNA (snRNA) component of the spliceosome (involved in pre-mRNA splicing). Complementary binding between U2 snRNA (in an area lying towards the 5' end but 3' to hairpin I) and the branchpoint sequence (BPS) of the intron results the bulging out of an unpaired adenosine, on the BPS, which initiates a nucleophilic attack at the intronic 5' splice site, thus starting the first of two transesterification reactions that mediate splicing. Lineage: Eukaryota; Metazoa; Chordata; Testudines; Emydidae. The record is from Rfam by way of RNAcentral.
AUCGCUUCUCGGCUCUCUGAGCUCUGGUCAAGUGUAGUAUCCGUUCUUAUCAGUUUAAUAUCUGAUAUGUCCUUUAUUUGAAACUAACCCGUCCCCCCCAUUUACAUUAAUUCUUAUGGGGAAAUUGGAUUCGCUUAACAUUGUUUUGCUUAAAGUCGCAUUUUUCAGUAACAUAACUACAAUGUUAAGUGAAGAGUUACUGGA